AAUUUUUCACCUAACCCUUGAAACAACGCUCCUAUAUAAGCAACCCGUAUUCUUCCAUUCCAUUCAUCAACAGAACAGCCCAUUCUCCACUCCUUCCCUAUUCUUCCCAUGGCGUGCUCCUCAUGCCUCUCUCUCCCCCUUCUCUUCUUGCUCAUGCUAUCCUUCACCCAGGUGACCGUUGCUGGACGUCAAGUUCCUGCUACCACUGACAAAAAACAAACCGAGUGCCUCGAUCAUGAAGGUACUGUUUUAAUUCCUGGUGUCGGACGCUACAUGAUUGGCAGCCAAGAGCAACCUGAGAUUGUCGGUUUAGACCACAGCGGACCAGCAGCUGCCAAUGGUCGGUACAUCCCAGGAGCUGAUGACACUUUUGUUCCAAACCCUGGUUUUGAGGUUCCUAAUCCCUUUCAUCGAUCAGUUCCUUGAACUAGUCCUAUCCCAUCUCACCUUCUGUGGCAUUAUCCGUCCGUUAUUGGUGGUAUUUGGUGCUGUAGUAUUUUCUGAUAAGCUGUAGAAGGAAUGUCUAGUGGUAGGAUGCUUGGUUUGAAUAAGGAGUUCGCUUCAGUGAUUCUACUGGAGAUCCUUCCAGUGUCAGCAUUGUCUUAGAUUGUACUUGCAGUAAAUUGGUGUAGACCAUAGACUGGUCAUUAAUUUGGAAUGUGCUGUAGUAGUUCUUAAACUAGAUGUGUAAGAGAUAAAUAAAAGAGACGGCACCUUUUCAGCCAAAAAAGAGAGAGAGUUGGUACUUCCCCCGACUUUGAGUUUCUGCUCUCAGUUUCACUAUAAAUGUAUGAGUGAUUUCCCCAGGUCAAAAAUUUUCAGCUCUUUUUUUUUUCUUCUUCUUCAGAGAGAGUCGAGGAAAAGAGAAAUUGUACCCUACACUACAUGCACCACCUGGCUGUGCAGCGAUAAUCACAGUUGCUAAUUUCUAUAGCGGUGCACCGACACGAGCAGUUGAUGAAUGGGGCCUACAUGAAUGAGUAGUUGUGAUUUGCUGCAUAUAUAGCCACGUGAUGCAUGCAGCGUAUAACAUAAUUUUGUUGAAGAAAAACUUUCAGCAUUUAAAUGGAAUUUGCCUGGCCAUACUAUUUUAGCACUGAAUCGGGUUUAGGUCCAACCAAGCGGAUUGGUCAUAACCUUUCAACCUUAUAUGAGACCCAUUCCAGAUUACCUGUAACAGAAAUGACUGGAGUAAACUUUUAUUCCUUGUUUAUGUUUGAUUAUGCCCCCGCAUUAAAACUCUUGCAGCUUUACACUAUGAGGUCAUUGCAGCUCAACUGUAAUAGAUAUGACUUGAGUUUCUUGCACAUUAUGGCCAACCUCAUAUGUUUCUGUUUCAGCUUGAGUAUGCUUUGCUAUGACCCCAUGUUGAAGCAGUUAGGAGUAAUUCCUAUGGAGCAAAAAAGGGGAAAAGAAAAAAAAAGAGCCAUUUAACAUCAUAGACCAAGCAAAAACAAGAAAAAGAAAAAAGAAAAAUAUCAAUAUUGAGAUGCCAAUGAUUACUUACUCUGUACUGAGAAAGUCACAAAAGUAUAAUUGCCAUUAUCCACAUUCAGAUAACGUUUCUUUUUCCACCCGCAACCAAAAAACAUAGAUUUGGAAGAUUAUAGAAGAGUACUUUGCGAGCAAUUCAUGGAGCUGAAGUCGGAUAUAAUUAUGAGCGUCUUUAAGUUGUUGGCAAACUAGGACCGAUAAAUUUCGGUUGAAAGAAUUGAAGACUAUUUAAUUCCUAAUUCAUAGCAUGUGAAAGCACAUCCGGUUCACGGUACCGAAGCCGCUUACUUUUUAAAUUUACGGUAUGCGAGAGCAAUAUACCUUGUUCUCCAGUAAGUAUUCACUCCCGAGAGGGUACCCACACCGACAAACACCUAGAACAUGAGAGAUACCAAGUCACCAGUACAAGAAGUCUUUUAAUGCACCGCCUCUUUCCCAUCCAACGCUAGGAAAGUUUCCCUUAUAUAAGGAACCUAAAUUCCAGCAAUUCCACCAGAAAACCAAUAGCACUCUCCACUC
This 2013-nucleotide long non-coding RNA is filed under the name Phoenix dactylifera (date palm). Its description in RNAcentral is "long non-coding RNA (PDAC_LNC003486)". Lineage: Eukaryota; Viridiplantae; Streptophyta; Magnoliopsida; Arecales; Arecaceae. The record is from RNAcentral.